RNAcentral lists this ribosomal RNA (467 nucleotides) under uncultured bacterium. RNAcentral's name for it is "partial 16S ribosomal RNA". It matches the Rfam family "Bacterial small subunit ribosomal RNA", at positions 28 to 507 of the family's 1533-position model. The record is from RNAcentral.
GACGAACGCUGGCGGCGUGCUUAACACAUGCAAGUCGAACGGAAAGGCCCUGCUUUUGUGGGGUGCUCGAGUGGCGAACGGGUGAGUAACACGUGAGUAACCUGCCCUUGACUUUGGGAUAACUUCAGGAAACUGGGGCUAAUACCGGAUAGGAGCUCCUGCUGCAUGGUGGGGGUUGGAAAGUUUCGGCGGUUGGGAUGGACUCGCGGCUUAUCAGCUUGUUGGGGGGGUAGUGGCUUACCAAGGCUUUGACGGGUAGCCGGCCUGAGAGGGGGACCGGCCACAUUGGGACUGAGAUACGGCCCAGACUCCUACGGGAGGCAGCAGUGGGGAAUAUUGCACAAUGGGCGGAAGCCUGAUGCAGCAACGCCGCGUGCGGGAUGACGGCCUUCGGGUUGUAAACCGCUUUCGCCUGUGACGAAGCGUGAGUGACGGUAAUGGGUAAAGAAGCACCGGCUAACUACGUG